Molecule: RNA transcript, 702 nt
Organism: Fragaria vesca subsp. vesca
Lineage: Eukaryota; Viridiplantae; Streptophyta; Magnoliopsida; Rosales; Rosaceae
Exons: 2
Source: RefSeq, a predicted model, not a curated record
GAAGAAAACUGAAGGAUCAAAAAGAAGAGAGAGUUACGAUCAGUAUACAGAAGCAAUAUAUAUGUAAAGAAGAUGAGUGAGAAGAUAGGAGCUGUUGAUUCCAGUUAUGAUACUGUUUACCAGCCCAAACCAAGCUGCAAUUUCUUUGAAGAAGCAAUAAGGGCUAUUCUCAAGUGUUUGGGUGUAGAGGCUCCUUCAAACACAAACACAACAACUGAGAAAGUCGUUGGCGAACCACCAGUAACAGAAGCCGAACCAGUUCUACUGGGUGUGGUGAGGCCUGGUCCAACCCCACCACCCGAUCCUCAGCACAAUUGAUCGACAAAUAUUACUCAGACAGCUACUGGGAUGAAGAUAUCUAAGUAUGGUGUAUGUGUGUGUGAAUUAGCUAAGCUUUGGUAAAUAGGAUAGAAUCUACUAGCUAAAGUUGAAACUACAUAGAAAUACUCUCCGUUUGUAACUUUUGAAUCUGUAUUUGCUUGUUCGAUCUGUAUGUGAAUCCAACUGCACGAGAAUUUGUACGCAGUGCUAAAGUAACGUUUUGAACUGUUGAUGAUCCCAUGAAUGCAUUAUCCUUUCGUUUUGUGUCUUUUUAAUUAGGGACCAUAAACCAUCGAUCCUUUCAAGUGUGAGUCAUGUACGUACGUAGGGUUUCUAAAUUGCUGUCUCUCAUUAUACAUAUAUCUAAAUUCUUCUUAAGAU